AAAUAAAUUUAUUAAAAAAAAAUUAGUUAUAUAUGAUAACUGAUGAAUAUGGUUAUAAUUUUUAUGACUUUUUGUCAGAAGUAUUACUGGCUUUUAAUCUUUGUUUUCUAGGUAUAAGGAAACCUUAAGCUAAGUAUGACUUACAGCAGCUUGGUAAAUUAGACCUUUGUCAGCAGAACUGAAACAUUUAUCUUUUCUUUCUACUUGAUCCCUCCAGAAAGUGGAAACUUUCAGGUUCCCAGUAGCCUUAUCAGGUGAAUAAGGAAGGUCAACUCCUGGCAGGUGCAAGAAUGUCAAGGUAUUUUGGAGACCUUGAGAAGAGAGGAAUUCACCCAAAUCUAUAGUUAUUGUGGCGGAAUCUAAUGGCAAGCCCUUGGCAUGGCUUUCCUGGCUCAACUUGAGAGGCCUUUUAAAAGUUCAAUCUGAAAUUCCUUAUGAAAAGUUCCAGGAAAAACAAUUUAAAAGAGCCUAUAUAAUCAAUUACACAUUAUGUAAAUAAUCAGGCCAAGUUUAUUUUGCAAACAAAUUAGCCUUAAUUGGGCUAUAUUUGGUAGAAAUGAAGGUGAUUUUAGAGAAAAAAAAAGUUCUAGUGGAUAUUAAGUUCUAACGUUGUCAAUUGUCUUCCAAGUUUGUACUUACUGCCCAGGGCUCACUUCUUUUGUUGGCUCCUUGUUACAUUAUUGUGAAGUUUAAUUGAAUUAUUAAAAGGACAUUGUAAGUUUGUUUCUGGAGCUUAUCACAGGAAUCCUUGGAUGAAGAUCAGAUGCCUCAUGACCUGUAACAAGAUUACAAAUAUAUCAUUUGUAAAUAUAUAUCAUUUAAAGGAUGAUAGAAAAUAUAUCAUUUAAAGGAUUUUCUCCAACCUAUAUAGAAGGACCCUCCAAUGAAAAUAAUGACAACUAGGCGACUUGAUUAACCAGAUAAAUAGUUCUACAUAAGAUCAAUGAUUGUAAUAGUGUAACCCUAGAUAUGGGAAGAAGCAGUAAGAGGGAAACUAUUCCUGUAGUUUCCAGUAAGAGAGAAACUAUAACAGACUAGUAAGACUAUUAUGGGCCUAGUUCAGUAACAGCACAUUGAGUGGCCUAUAUCAGCGAAAUCCUCACCAGACCUAAGAAUGAGCCUUCCUAGCGCCAUGGGACAAAUUGGUCAUGAAAUGCCCCCUAAACCUUGGUCAAAACUAUGACCAAGGGGAGGGUACUGCCAACUGAGGAAUGUUGCCCACCAUCCAGUUCUACAGCCCCUGCAGUCGCUGACCUAUAGUUACCCCUAAAAGGACUUCAGGGCGAAGACCGUGCUCUGGGAAAACUGGCAGAACUGGCCCUCAGGUAGUUAGAGAUUUUCAGGAGAAAACUUUUGUGAACCCGGACUCUUGCAUCUUCCCUUACUUAAUAAAGCACUAAAAUCAUUAAAUGAGAUACCUGUUCCUUGUGACUAGCGGCAACCUUCUCCUGAGACAUGUGCUUGGUUGCACAUACCCUCUUCACGUAACUCCCACAUGCUUCAGAGCAGUUCCUCAGAGCUGGGAGGCUGGCUCCUGGGCUACAGUCCUUGGUAAGUCUCCAAACAAAACUGAAAAGUCACAGCUCUCACAUUGUGCAUUUCAACUACGGUGGAAAUGAGCUGUUCAAGGUCACACAGCUGGUCGGUGGCAGGUCUGGGACGACAACCUUCAGCCCAUCUUUUCACGGCUCCUCCUGCAGCCCCCCGACACUUCGUGUGUUCAGCUGUUCAAUUACUGAUGCAUCCGUUUCUAUCAACAGCCUUUACCAAAGCCCUGUUUAGGGUCAGUUCCCGUCUCGGGUUAGUUCUGGAGCAAGGAUGACACCUCAGGGCUGAGUCCUGUCAGCUCACAGAGCAGAGGGGAGAAUGGGGCCGGAGACACAAAGAGAGGGGGCCUGGGCCUGGCCAUGCCCCACGCCCUUCUUCACGCUUUCCCGAGUAACCUAGGCUGGCCAGGCUGUGCCAUAGGGCCUGGCAUGAGCUGAAAGGUUCAAAAGACAGGGUAUUGGGGUGCCCAGCCCAGUCUGUCCACUUUGGGGGGCCCUGUGGUCUGAACAGGGACUCGCGAGAGGCCCAGUCUCUCCUCUGCAGUUCCCACGCUCCAGUCCAGGCCCAGUGAGGGGGAUCUCAUUCCAGUCUGCAUGCUGGUCUCCAAUGACAUCUUUUCCUCUUAAGGUUGACCUUGAGGUUGCUUCUGAGCUGGAUUCACCUGGCAAGAAGGUCGGGGGUCGAGAGAAUCACAUUGAAUUUGGCCCUGGGCCUGGGCCUGCCCCCCAGAAAGGACGAAACGGACAGGACCUGCCUGGAGCCAGGCCGAGUGCCUAGUGUCCAGAGGGAACAGAGAGCAGCUGGGGAGCUGACUCUGACUUAGGAACGCUGCCUGUGGGCUUUGUUUCCAGCCCUCUCAGAGUCACAGGGAAGCUGGCACCAGAGGGAGAGCCUUGGCCUCUUGUUUGUCUCCAGCCCGAGCCAGCGGUGUGGAAAGAGGUCGGAGGGCCCGGCUCGGGGGUGGGGGGUGGGGGGGGUAGGCAGCAGGCCAGCCGCCCCCCAGGCUUCUCCUCCGUCCUGGCCCACGUGCGCCCUCGUGCACACGUGCCUCUCGGUGGGGAGGGGAGGGGUUACCAUGGGACAGGCCAGGCAGAUCACGUUCAAGGCCCUGCCACUGCUGUCAUGGGGAGAAUUAUGGCCGUCGUGACGGGGAGGAGGUGGUAUGGGGAGACUGCUGGAUCGGGGCACAGGCUUCUGCUGAUGUCAGAGCCUGCCACUGACUCUGGGAUGGGUGUGGGGUGCUGGUGACCUCCUCCUGGGCCAAGGUUCUCUUCCUCAGCCUUUGCAGGCUGAGCGCCUUGUUAACUCUCACGGUCCCUCUGAGCAGGAAGGUAGGCAGAGAGGUCUGGGAAUUCCCUCUGGUUCUGGAAGUCCUCUGUGUCUGGCUUUGCUUUUGGAUGAGGGCAGAGCCCCCAAGGGUGGAGACCAGAGGGCACCGCAGGCCAGGAGGGAAGAGAUGCGGCCCAGGCCGUGCAGAGUGCUGGACAGGAAGACCCAGGGCCGGGGAGGGAGGACCCCACUCAUUCACUCAACAAUCCUUUGAUGAGUGUCCACUGUGUAGCUCUACAGUUACAGGGGAAAACGAACCAUGUGACCCCCUAUGGGGAGCUGUAGGGCAGAUGAGGAGGUUCAGAAGUACAGAGGAGGGAGCACCUGACGACACAGGAGGAGAAAGGGAGUGCUUCUUGGGGGGAAGUCAGAUUAGGAAGGAGUCAGCCAGGUGGGAGAGGGGCUGGGGGCCAGGCGCUCCAGGUAGAGCAUGGAGUGGGUGGUGGGGGGUGGUGGUGGAAAUCUGAGGGGUGCUCAGCUGUGGAAUGUCCGUAGGGCGCGGAGGGAAGUCAAGGCUGGAGAGAGAGGCAGAGGUCAGAGCCAGCUGGGUGGGCAUGGGAAGAUUCCUCCGCAGGUUCCCGGGAAGCAGAGGCCGGGAGUUGAGGAGGGGACCUGGAGCUGGUGUGGCCCGGCCCCGAGGAGGUGAGUACUGGGCAUCGCCAGCGGCCUUUGACCUUGGGCGUGUGGGGAAGCUGUGGACUGGAGGGCAGAAAGCACAGAGGUCAAGUUCAGACAGACUUCCCAUCCCACUCCCACCACUUACUUUAUGGUUGGGAGCCCCUCACUUCAGUCUGAACUUCCUCAUCUAUAAAAUAGAGUAUGUUUUCUUUUUCAUUUUCUUUUUCUUUGUGUAAUCCUCUCAGGGUGGUUAUAAGGCUUGAAUCAGGUAACAAUACAUCAAGAGCCCCCAGGACCAAGCCCCGACUUCUCAGCCAGUGUCUGGGCCCUCGCGUCUCCCCCUAGCCACCCUUCUCAUCUUGCCCAGCUCAGCGCGCUCCCGAGAUGCCCUCAACGUUCAGGGCAGCUCACAGCGUUACUCCCUGAAAGGCUUCCCUUUGGGCACCCCGUCCCCCUACUCUUUAGUUAGAAUUCAAUACCUUUGGGCCCCCCCCCCGACAGACAUUUAUCACAGUAACAAUAAGACUGUUAGGCAUUCCCCACACACACCUUUUUUAAAAGACUGUUUUAAGAGCUGUUUUAGAUUCACAGAGAAACUGAGAGGAAGGAACAGAGAUUUCCCGUAGACCCUCUGCCCCCGCACCUGUAGAUCCCCCCUUUCCGUGUCUGUGAGCUCCAUCCGUAAGGCCCUGUAAACGCCAUGAGGACUUGGAUCCUUUCCAAAUUCUUGAUUCCCCAGCACUUAGCACAGGGCUAGAUAAUUAAUAGAUACUGAAUAAAUGUUUAGUAAAUGAUUGGGAAGCAUGGAGCCUGGCACUUUGUAGAUUAUCAAUAAGUACUGAUUUUCUUCCAGCUCUUCCUUCCUGCUUAUAGAGUAUAUGCUUAUUUAAUACCUAAAGAGUUUUCCCCCAAAGGGGACAUUGUGAGAGGGCAGCAGAAAGUUAAGGCAAGUAUAACUCAUUGGGCUUGAGGUCAUUAUGGAUUACCUCCCUUCACAGAAUAUUUUUUUUAAUACAUUUAUUUUUAUUUACUUAUCUUUGGCUGCAUUGGGUCUUUGUUGCUGUGCGUGGGCUUUCUCUAGUUGCGGCGAGCGGGGGCUACUCUCCGUUGCGGUGCGUGGGCUUCUUAUUGCGGUGGCUUCUCUUGUUGCAGAGCACGGGCUCUAGGCACGCGGGCUUCAGUAGUUGUGGCUCGCGGGCUCUAGAGUGCAGGCCCAGUAGCUGUGGCGCACGGGCUUAGCUGCCCCGCGGCAUGUGGGAUCUUCCCGGACCAGGGCUCGAACCCAUGUUGCCUGCAUUGGCAGGCGGGUUCUUAACCACUGCGCCACCAGGGAACCCUGGAGAACAUUUUAUGUAAUCCAGCACUUAAUUCCUCAAUUUGAGUUGGUUGCCGUUCUGUUAUCACUCUUUUUUUUUUGGCUGUGCUACGUGGCAUGCAGAACUUCCUCAUCCAGGGAUCGAACCCACGUCCCCUGCACUGGAAGCACGGAGUCUUAACCACUGGACCGCCAGGGAAGCCCUGUUAUCAUAUUUGUACAGAGGAGACUAAGUGUAAGCUCAGUGAGGGGAGGGAAGGCAUCCCAUGAGUCUGGGGGGACUCAGCAGAUGAUAACGGCUGGCGUGGAGCGCUCCUGAGCCAGGGCUGGCUCUAAGCUCUUCACACGUGUUCACUCACUCCUUACCACCACCCAAAGAGCUGGUGCUAUUAGAUCCCCAUUUUACAGACAAGGAGCUGAGAGGUGCCGCUGGACCAAGUUCGGAGAGCUCUGAAGUGAAGAAACCGGGACGCACAGCCUGUGCUCUUCACCUUUUUUUUUUUUUUAUUGAAGUACAGUUGAUUUACAGUGUUGUGUUAGUUGCUGCUGUACAGCAAAGUGACUCAGUUAUACAUACAUAUACAUAUAUAUCCUUUUUCAUAUUCUUUUCCAUUAUGUUUAUCACAGGAUAUUGAGUAUAGUUCCCUGUGCUCUACAGUAGGACCUUGUUGUUUAUCCAUUCUCUGUAUAAUAGUUUGCAUCUGCUAAUCCCAAACUCCCACUCCAUCCCUCUCCCACCCGCCUCCCCCUUGGCAACCACAAGUCUGUCCUCUAUGUCUCUGAGUUUGUUUCUGUUGCGUAGAUAAGUUCAUUUGUGUCAUAUUCUAGAUUCCACAUAUAAGUGAUAUAUGGUAUUUAUCUUUGUCUGGCUUACUUCACUUAGUAUGAUAAUCUUUAGGUCCAUCCAUGUAGCUGCAGAUGGCAUUAUUUCAUUCUUUUUUACGCCUGUGUGCUCUUCACGUUUUAAAAUCUCCUGUUUCUCUCUGAAAAGCAGGGCCCAUAUUUGCCUCUCAUGCCUGACAAAUCUCAGGGUGAUGCUCAGCAUGCCCAGCUAUCCCCUUACACUGGUUCCCUUGUCCUCGUCUGCCUGUUUCCAGCAGGAGCCCUGGCAGAGCUGGAGGAGUAGACAGCUAGGGGAGUGUGAACCAGGGUGGACAGCCCCAGAGCUUUGGGACAGACGUUGGCGCACCAAUCAUCUCCAGACUCUUCAUGCCUGGGGGGCUGUGGUCUCCAGUGAGGGCAGUAAGAGAACAUCUCCACGUUCAGUGUAAGGAUCUCUGCUAAUCACUCCACUCCGGGAUGCUCGUUAUCUGGGACAAGUAUGUCCUAAGCAGAGAGAACAGGAAAUUCCGGCCUCGUCCAGAGCCUGCUGCAUCUGCUCUGCCUGCUGGCCUGCACGGUCUGCCGUCUGCACCUCGCUCUGCCUGACCUGCCACCCAUACUCCUGUGAGCAAAACUGAGGCCACUCUCCAGCCAUCACAUCUGUGUCAUACCCCUGGGGCUCAUGCUGAUGUGGCAUCCCUGAGAAGCCCUGCACAAUGGCAGCGUGAGGGCAUCUGGUUCUGCUAAGUAUCCAGGGCCUGUUGGGAGUUUAUCCGAGCAGGGUGGGAGAGCAGAUACUGUGGCUUAAAUUCAGCCGACAACAUGUGACGUAAGGUCAAGGGCCAAGGAAAGGGGAAAAGAACAGCUGGGAGAGAGAGAGGCUGCUGUACCCAGUUAUAUCAGAAUAAAGAUCGCCAGGAAAGGGGCUGCAGUAGAUCUUCCUUGUUUGUUUGUUUUCCUUGAAAGUGGUCUCAUGGGAACCUCUACUGGAAGAAACUAUUAAAGACAAAACAAAGGUAUAGAACUGAGAUUGAUUCUGAAGCCUGAUUAACAGUAGAGGAGUACCCGCAGUGGUCCAGGAAAAAAGCACGAUUUCAGUACCUGCAAAAAGCCUGGACUGGGCAAAGCUGAGGGCAGGCUCUGAGCAGCAGGGAGACAGAACAGGAGGGAAGCAGGGAGUCUCAUUCCAUGCUUCAGCUCUCUUUGCUGCUGCCUGUGUGACAAAGGUCUAAAGGCAAUAUGUUAUUACGCGUAACAACUGAAGCCCAGCUAUGGCUUGGAAAUUCCUGAACUACUGUGGAAAUUCUCUCCUUUGAAUCAUGACUCUUUUGAUUGCAUUUGGAAUUCUGUUUGAAGGAGGUUGAAAAGACGAGUACAGUGAAUCCGAAUCUCUUGAAGGUGCCGGAUAUUCUGAAACAGUGGUGCUCAGAAAAAAGCAGAAUGCUUACAGAAUGCUGUAAUUCUGCUGACUCUCAAAGAACAUCUUCUUGUAGUGAAAGUUAGCCACCUCUUCCACAAGUCUCCCCUUUGUGGGGAAGUUAAUAACAAAUUCCGGCUAUUCAACAGUAAGGUUAGAGAUGAAACACACUAGAUAAAUCAUUAAGUGCGACGGUUCUUCACAAAUUAGCUACCUUGAAACCAACCCAAUGAUGAAUAGCUCAGAAGUCUGCAUUUGGCGCAGUUUUAAAAACACCUGAGCUCAUAAAAUGUGGUAUGUUUAAUACUAUAAAAUAACUCAAACAUAGGAAUUGGCUAUAAAUAUCUUCCCUGCAAAGAAUGUCUUUGCUCAACAGACUAUAAAAUAAGUAUCUGGAAUAGUUUUACAGUUAAAACUGAGAAUCAGGGAGGAAAAGUGACUUGCUUGAGCCCAAGGUGCUAGAGAGAACAGAGUCCAGGUUUCGGAAAGUACAGCCUCUUACGCUUCCUGUGUGAUCAACAUCAUUCCAGAAAAGGGGCAUCACUUGGCUUGGCUGAGAAUAACCUAGAUAUAUCAGUCACUGCAACACGAUUUUAUCUGUGCUUUUUGAUCACAGCAUAGGAGGCUCAAGACUGAAUCCAAAGGACUAGAAAACCUAACGAAAUUAACAAUACUUAGAGAAGUCGUUAUGUGGAUCUCAAGGGAACGCAGCUGGGAUAGCUGUUGGUGAAGCAAACAGCUGCUUCUCAAACAAACACCAGCUUCUCUUAUAAUCAGUAAGUGCAAAACUUCACGGAGAGAGCCCUCCUCAAGCCUGAAAACUUGUUUUUCUUAUCAGAAAAAAACCAUGACAAGGGGAGAAAGGAGGACCCACAGGAUAUCUGGUAUGAAAAUAUUCCUUCAUAAGUAACUAGUAGGUUGGAAUUGUGACAGAAGGGAGAUCCCAGCAUGUGUGUGUAUGGACUGCUUAUACCUUUGAGAGCAGAAAUUUAAUGACUAUUCACUGAAGGCAACUCAAACUUGGGAAAUAAUAACGUUGCAAUUUUGAGAUUCAUAUUUUAUUUACAAGCAAAUGAAGAAUAUUCCCUGUAACCAUUAAUUUGGGGGGAGAAGAGCAAUAUAAAGAAGUAGUUGCUGGCUCCACAGUGACGUGUGAAAGGAGUCCAUGCCACUGUUUCUUUAAAUGAUUUUGUUAUUAAAAAAACCGAAACAAAACGCACAAUUUCUUCAUGUUGCAUAUGUGAAAGAAUUCCAAAUAAAAAUGACUUUUCAAAGCUCUGCAGUCUCUCGUCAAAUGUGUCACUUGGUUUGGUGACAGCCCCUGCUCCCCAAGAGCUACAGCCUCUGAGCAGAAGACUUAAUACUCAUCAAGAGUAUCUGCUCGAGGGAUAGACAGGCCUCGAUCCUUCAGGGCCUGGACUUUCAACUUCUCAGCUUCCAGCUUGGUCUGCUGUUCCACCCUCUGUUCUUCUAGGAUUUCUUCAAUAGACACUUGCUGGAGGGGUGUGUCACUCUCCUUUUCUAAGUCCUACAAAACAAGCAGGUUUGGA
This is a non-coding RNA of Globicephala melas (long-finned pilot whale), 8599 nucleotides long. The record is from RefSeq and is a predicted model, not a curated record. Lineage: Eukaryota; Metazoa; Chordata; Mammalia; Artiodactyla; Delphinidae.